RNAcentral lists this small RNA (233 nucleotides) under Pan troglodytes (chimpanzee). RNAcentral describes it as "processed transcript". The record is from RNAcentral. Lineage: Eukaryota; Metazoa; Chordata; Mammalia; Primates; Hominidae.
AUUGUUCAGGUCUCUACUUGAAUGUUUACCACUUCUGAGUGUAUCUCAUGAUUGACUUCACAGAAGUAAAUUCUUGUGGGAUGUUUUAUUGAGACAGCAGAUCACUAAUCUCAGUUAGUCACUGUGUGCCCAGUAUUCUGCAGACAAACGAGAAGAUGAGAAGAUGUGUGAUCAUUUGAUAAGAGCAGCAAAAUAUCGUGACCACGUGACAGCAACUCAACUAGUCCAGAAAA